This 85-nucleotide transfer RNA is filed under the name Felis catus (domestic cat). It matches the Rfam family "tRNA". Rfam says of the family: Transfer RNA (tRNA) molecules are approximately 80 nucleotides in length. Their secondary structure includes four short double-helical elements and three loops (D, anti-codon, and T loops). Lineage: Eukaryota; Metazoa; Chordata; Mammalia; Carnivora; Felidae. The record is from Rfam by way of RNAcentral.
GCCUGGGUGGCUCAGUUGGUUAAGCAUCUGACUUUGGCUCAGAUCACGAUCUCACAGUUUGUGAGUUCAAGCCCCUCAUCGGGCU